Molecule: ribosomal RNA, 465 nt
Filed under: uncultured bacterium
Lineage: Bacteria
Description: partial 16S ribosomal RNA
Rfam family: Bacterial small subunit ribosomal RNA
Source: RNAcentral
GACGAACGCUGGCGGCGUGCUUAACACAUGCAAGUCGAACGGAAAGGCCCUGCUUGCCGGGUACUCGAGUGGCGAACGGGUGAGUAACACGUGGGUGAUCUGCCCUGCACUUCGGGAUAAGCCUGGGAAACUGGGUCUAAUACCGGAUAGGAGCCAUUUUUAGUGUGAUGGUUGGAAAGUUUUUUCGGUGUAGGAUGAGCUCGCGGCCUAUCAGCUUGUUGGUGGGGUAAUGGCCUACCAAGGCGGCGACGGGUAGCCGGCCUGGGGGGGUGGACGGCCACAUUGGGACUGAGAUACGGCCCAGACUCCUACGGGAGGCAGCAGGGGGGAAUAUUGCACAAGGGGCGCAAGCCGGAUGCAGCGACGCCGCGUGGGGGAUGACGGCCUUCGGGUUGUAAACUCCUUUCGCUAGGGACGAAGCUUUUUGUGACGGUACCUAGAUAAGAAGCACCGGCUAACUACGUG